This is a small nuclear RNA of Rattus norvegicus (Norway rat), 186 nucleotides long. Ensembl annotates it as U4 spliceosomal RNA. Lineage: Eukaryota; Metazoa; Chordata; Mammalia; Rodentia; Muridae. The record is from Ensembl.
AGCUUUGUGCAGUGGCAGUAUUGUAACCAAUGAGGUUUAUCUAAAGCGCGAUUAUUGCUAAUUUAAACUGGGUCUCACCAUGUAGCCCAGGCUAGCCUCUAAUUUGUAAUCUUCCUGAAUCUGCCUUUUGAGUUAUAAAGAUCAGAAGAUAUAGUCAUUAGAAAUUUAUAAUAUAGUUUUAUUGUU